This 385-nucleotide ribosomal RNA is filed under the name uncultured bacterium. RNAcentral describes it as "bacterial SSU rRNA". It matches the Rfam family "Bacterial small subunit ribosomal RNA", at positions 31 to 417 of the family's 1533-position model. The record is from RNAcentral.
GAACGCUGGCGGCGUGCUUAACACAUGCAAGUCGAGCGGUAAGGCCCUUUCGGGGGUACACGAGCGGCGAACGGGUGAGUAACACGUGGGUGACCUGCCCUCAGCUCUGGGAUAAGCCUGGGAAACCGGGUCUAAUACCGGAUAUGACUCCAUGACGCAUGUUGUGGGGUGGAAAGCCUUGUGCGGCUGAGGAUGGGCCCGCGGCCUAUCAGCUUGUUGGUGGGGUGANGGCCUACCAAGGCGACGACGGGUAGCCGGCCUGAGAGGGCGACCGGCCACACUGGGACUGAGACACGGCCCAGACUCCUACGGGAGGCAGCAGUGGGGAAUCUUGCGCAAUGGGCGAAAGCCUGACGCAGCGACGCCGCGUGAGGGAUGACGGCCU